Molecule: non-coding RNA, 68 nt
Organism: Chelonia mydas (Green sea turtle)
Lineage: Eukaryota; Metazoa; Chordata; Testudines; Cheloniidae
Source: Rfam
GUGGUUAAGGCGAUGGAUUCGAAAUCCAUUGGGACCUCCCCGCGCAGGUUCGAAUCCUGCCAACUACG